CCCUGGCAAUGCCUCUGUCAGCUGUGGUUAACAAGUGGCAGCUAGCAGGCCAGGGCAGGCUGUGGUGACCUCGGGUGGGGACAGCCAAUGAGCUCUCAAGCUGUGGUGGCACCACCGGGCAGCCCGCCUGUCUUUGGCUGGUGUAACAGCGGGAGGGGCCUGGGCCCGCCAGUCAGGGCCGCCAGCCCUGUCUCUGGGAGACUGGGGCAGAUCUGCCACUCAUUCACAGAGAGCCUCCUAGGGCUGCCUCAGUUUCAACUUUUCCAACCUCUUCAGGAUGGCUGAGAAAACUUUGGGAACUUGGCCCAUCUUCUGGAUCCAAGUGGGCCAGAGCCCCAGGCUGGGGAGAGGGGAGAUUCUGGGAAUCCUAUUUGUUGGGGUACUUUUAAAAAAGAGCCAAGAUGAACUCGGGAAGGACAGUUGCCACCGCGUGGCUGGCAGCUUGGGGAAGUAAGGCUUUGGAAGAUGGCAGGCGCAACACCAUGCCCACCACCACAGGAAAGCUCAGGAAGAACACAAUUCCAAAAGGCCCAGUAUAAAUGUGGGAAUAAAUAAAACCUCCCUCCUUCCUCUGGCA
Marmota monax (woodchuck) is the source of this 577-nucleotide long non-coding RNA. RefSeq lists it as uncharacterized. The transcript has 2 exons. The record is from RefSeq and is a predicted model, not a curated record. NCBI's taxonomy places the organism in Eukaryota, Metazoa, Chordata, Mammalia, Rodentia, Sciuridae.